GGCCGGAUUGCUCAGUCGGUUAGAGCGUGGUGCUAAUAACGCUAAGGUCGUGGGUUCGACCCCCCACUCUGGCCA
Molecule: non-coding RNA, 75 nt
Organism: Trichuris suis (pig whipworm)
Lineage: Eukaryota; Metazoa; Nematoda; Enoplea; Trichinellida; Trichuridae
Source: Rfam